RNAcentral lists this ribosomal RNA (1214 nucleotides) under metagenome. Its description in RNAcentral is "bacterial LSU rRNA". It matches the Rfam family "Bacterial large subunit ribosomal RNA", at positions 1594 to 2818 of the family's 2925-position model. The record is from RNAcentral.
GUUAUGUCAUACUUCCAAGAAAAGCUUGCACUGUCAUAGAUAAAAAACGCCUGUACCAUAACCGACACAGGUGGGUAGGUAGAGUAUACUAAGGGGCGCGAGAUAACUCUCUCUAAGGAACUCGGCAAAAUAACUCCGUAACUUCGGGAGAAGGAGUGCCUUAUUCGUAAGGUUGCAAUAACAAGAUCCAAGCAACUGUUUAUCAAAAACACAGGUCUCCGCUAAGUCGUAAGACGAUGUAUGGGGGCUGACGCCUGCCCAGUGCCAGAAGGUUAAAGAAGUUGGUUAGCAAUUGCGAAGCUGAUAACUGAAGCCCUGGUGAACGGCGGCCGUAACUAUAACGGUCCUAAGGUAGCGAAAUUCCUUGUCGGGUAAGUUCCGACCCGCACGAAAGGCGUAAUGAUUUGGAUACUGUCUCGGAGAGGGGCUCGGUGAAAUAGACUUGUCUGUGAAGAUGCGGACUACCUGCACCAGGACAGAAAGACCCUAUGAAGCUUCACUGUAACUUGAAAUUGAAAUUGGACUUUAUUCGCGCAGUAUAGGUGGGAGGCGUUGAUUAUAAUCUUGUGGGAUUAUUGGAGCCAUCAGUGAGAUACCACUCUUGUAAUGUUAGAUUUCUAACUUUGAAUCAUUAUCUGGUCAAAGAACAGUUUCAGGCGGGCAGUUUGACUGGGGCGGUCGCCUCCUAAACGGUAACGGAGGCGUACAAAGGUUUCCUCUGAACGGUUAGAAAUCGUAUCUAGAGUGUAAAGGCAUAAGGAAGCUUGACUGUGAGACCUACAAGUCGAGCAGGGACGAAAGUCGGUCUUAGUGAUCUGACGGUACUGAGUGGAAAGGCCGUCACUCAACGGAUAAAAGUUACUCUAGGAUAACAGGCUGAUCUCCCCCAAGAGUUCACAUCGACGGGGAGGUUUGGCACCUCGAUGUCGGCUCAUCGCAUCCUGGGGCGGUAGUACGUCCCAAGGGUUGGGCUGUUCGCCCAUGAAAGCGGUACGCGAGCUGGGUUCAGAACGUCGUGAGACAGUUCGGUCCAUAUCCGGUGUAGGCGUUAGAAUAUUGAGAGGAGCCUUCUUUAGUACGAGAGGACCGAGAAGGACAUACCUCUGGUGUACCAGUUAUCGUGCCAACGGUAAACGCUGGGUAGCUAUGUAUGGAGUGGAUAACCGCUGAAAGCAUCUAAGUGGGAAGCACACCUCAAGAUAAGUAUUCUCAUC